AUACAGUCAGCGACUAAGCGAAAGCGAUAAGUUAUCCACCUGGGGAGUACGAUCGCAAGGUUGAAACUCAAAGGAAUUGACGGGGGCCCGCACAAGCGGUGGAGCAUGUGGUUUAAUUCGAUGAUACGCGAGGAACCUUACCUGGGCUUAAAUGCAGAGUGAUAGGCCCUGAAAGGGGUUUUUCUUCGGACACUUUGCAAGGUGCUGCAUGGUUGUCGUCGGCUCGUGCCGUGAGGUGUCGGGUUAAGUCCCAUAACGAGCGCAACCCCUACUCUUAGUUGCCAUCAGGUAAAGCUGGGGACUCUAAGGGAACUGCCUACGCAAGUAGAGAGGAAGGUGGGGAUGACGUCAAAUCAGCACGGCCCUUACGUCCAGGGCUACACACGUGCUACAAUGGCCGGUACAGAGGGCAGCCACCUGGUGACAGGGAGCGAAUCUCUAAAGCCGGUCUCAGUUCGGAUCGAAGUCUGCAACCCGACUUCGUGAAGCUGGAAUCGCUAGUAAUCGCGCAUCAGCCAUGGCGCGGUGAAUACGUUCCCGGGCCUUGCACACACCGCCCGUC
This 562-nucleotide ribosomal RNA is filed under the name uncultured bacterium. RNAcentral describes it as "bacterial SSU rRNA". It matches the Rfam family "Bacterial small subunit ribosomal RNA", at positions 834 to 1398 of the family's 1533-position model. The record is from RNAcentral.